Non-coding RNA from Vicugna pacos (alpaca), 2718 nucleotides. The record is from RefSeq and is a predicted model, not a curated record. Lineage: Eukaryota; Metazoa; Chordata; Mammalia; Artiodactyla; Camelidae.
CCUUCUGAAAACCGUGGUCUCUGAAUGCCUUCACUGUGCGAGAAAACUCAUGUGCUCUGGGCUCAGAGCAUCAGGAGGACCUGAGGUCUUGGUAGAAAUGUAGAAUUGCAAGUUCCACCCCAGGCCAGGUGAAUCAGAGUCUGCAUUUCAAACAAGAUUCCCAGGUGGCUCGUGUGCAUAGUAAAGUCGGGAAGCUCUAGGGUUUUCACUGAGAGCAGAAUGUUACAUGUCUUUCUCCGUGGUAUGUGUGCACCAGGCCAAGAUGACAGAGGUACAUGAGCUUUGUGGAAUUUAUUUGGAAGCUCUAGCAAAGGAUCAUGGGGAUGUGGCGUAUCUUGACCAAAGAAGAGUUUUUCAGUUCCGCUGGAGAGGGCCGUUCUCUCCUCACAAGCACGCAGCUUUGAGAAGGUGCAUCUGGAAUGUUGAGGAAGCCAAGUCUCAAAAGGGCCCAAAGUGGUUUCUAAAUAUCUACAUCCUUGGUGCCUCCAAAUUCUUCAAGCCUUCAGGAUCAUUCUUCUUUUAAAAUUUAAAUGCAGAUUACUCCAGCCUACCUCACACUCCAUGUGUAAGAGAAAUCCAACAUUUCAGACUCUGAGACUUCCAUCUCUCCAUUCUUCUGAUUUCCUGUUUCUACCAAGUUCUCGAGCAGGUUCUCGUCACAUCUCUUCACCCCACCCCACCCUAAUGGUGACUCCCAGCCCCCUUUCCACUGAUCCAUACAGCUCCUGUUAAUACCAGGCUGUCUUGACUGUAUCCGAGUUGUCCUGAAGGUUUGAGGGUAACGAGGAGCUCACAUCCCACUUGGCAGAGAAAUUUUAAAUGGAUACCAGACACUGCUGUUUUUAAAAGUUCCCAGGCCAUUUCUGUCCCUGGGAAUUUCUCACUGGCCGUUUGCUGUCACCAUGAACCGUAGGCGCCUGCCAUUGUCCUCCACCCUCUCAGUCUCCAACUCCUUAGAGCAUUCACCUCACUCCCCGGCUGGCUGCUGCUUGAAACUAAUAUCCCACCAACUGGUUUUCUGCACAGCAAUUAGGUCCCUUCUGUUUUGCCCUGGGCCGCUGCAGCCGUGUCCUGGCCUGGUGGUGCCUCCAUUCACCCCCAGAAAGGUCAUCAAAAUACCUUCAGGCACAAUGAUGCUUCUCUUCCUAAUAAUUCUCCUCUCACCUUUUAUAAAAACAAGGGUUUCCCCCUCUCCUGACUGCUCUUUAACUGAACACAAGCCAAUCUGAGUCUCUCUAGCCUGUGAGACUUUCUUUCUCUCCUGCUGCCUUGAAAAUCAGAGCAGAGGUGCGGAUGCCACAGUGAAGGCACCAGAGCAAGGAUGCUCAUGAGAUGAAUGUGCCUUUGGGUCUAGUUUCAAUUCAAAUGAAUAUUUUUAAAAUCUAAAAUUCAUUUAGCAAAUAAACAUGCUCUGCACAUAAUAGAUAUUUAAUAACUAGAUGAAGAGUGACCAAAUGAACACUAACGAAUAAGCCUCACACCUUAGUUUCACAGCUUGACAACAGAACUAGCAAAAUAAUGAGUGAAAACAAUGAAGGAAAACACGAGCUGGCAUCAGAACGGACCAAGCACAGCCAAAGGAGACCAAGGAAGGAGAAUCAAAUGGCCACAGAAGGAGGUGGAAGAAAAGAUAGCAAAGUCUAGGAAAUUAGUAUUGGUUGGAUAUUUUUUUAAAGUUUAUUUAAUAGAUACCAGGAAGAAAAAAUGUUUUAACAAAUCUUCCGAUCAUUUGCAAAGCGCCGUGAAUGCCAGGGAGCCACAGCGCAGCAGGAGAUGACCUAAAGAACCAGAAGGGCGGUUGUUCCUGGAACAGACCAAGAAAUAUUAGACAAAAAUAUUUCACCAAGGCAGCUCUCCGAAUGAAUACAGAACUGCCCCAGGAGGAGAACAAUGGGAUCACUUAAAAAUGUAUGCAAUUAAAAGCCAGCACGGCCCUCUUUUUAAGACUCCGAAUCUGUGUAUUGCAGAGGCCAGUCCUGCUGUACCACUGCUGUGUUAACUUUUGUUGAGUGACUUUGCCGCAUACAUGGUGGAUCAUGGAAACUGUGGGGCGAAGCCACGCCCCGUCUUCAGCUCUCUUAAUAAAAGACCUUGGUUUACAUAAAGUACACAGUGUGGGCUGACACGUGGAAAAGCAGCUUUCCCACAGUGCCAAUUUAGCUAGAUUUGGAGGACCCAGUUACUUCCCCCCCCCCACCCCGCCCCGGGACUUAGCUGGAGCCCCACUGGAAGCUCUCUUGAUCCCUAGGUAGCACACAGCCCUGCUGAAUGGAAAUGUUGGUUCUCCUCUGACGUGGAGUCCUGCUGGGAUCGCCGCACUCCUCUGUUCACUCACAAAUUUAGCACUUCCCUUUUCUAUGUCAACAAAUCCCAGAUAAUUUUCAUUAUUUCAUUACAUUCUUAAGAGCAAAGGAGUCCAUGCGAAUAGUCCCAGUGACAAGCUGUAAGCACACGAGAGAAGACUAAUUUCCAUAUUAAAUCAAGCACAUUUGUGGGGGCUUAUGCUUUAGAAUGUGCUGUCCUAAUUAUAUUUGUGUACCAUUAUUGUAGAAUUCUUUGUCUGCUCUGAGUUUCUAAAAUGUACUGAAGUGUAUAUUUUUUAAAAACAUAGGUAUAUAUAAAUACACAUAUAAGGAGAAUGCCAUUAUUUUGAAUUCAAAGCAAAUGAAAAUCAACACAUAUACAUUAAAAAAAUUUUUUAAAUAAAAUGAAAAGUGA